Molecule: ribosomal RNA, 448 nt
Filed under: uncultured bacterium
Lineage: Bacteria
Description: bacterial SSU rRNA
Rfam family: Bacterial small subunit ribosomal RNA
Source: RNAcentral
ACUCCUACGGGAGGCAGCAGUGGGAAUAUUGCACAAUGGGAAGCCAUCGAUGCAGCGACGCAGCGUGCGGGAUGACGGCCUUCGGGUUGUAAACCGCUUUCAGCAGGGAAGAAGCGCAAGUGACGGUACCUGCAGAAGAAGUACCGGCUAACUACGUGCCAGCAGCCGCGGUAAUACGUAGGGUACGAGCGUUGUCCGGAAUUAUUGGGCGUAAGAGCUCGUAGGUGGUUGGUCACGUCUGCUGUGGAAACGCAACGCUUAACGUUGCGCGUGCAGUGGGUACGGGCUGACUAGAGUGCAGUAGGGGGAGUCUGGAAUUCCUGGUGUAGCGGUGAAAUGCGCAGAUAUCAGGAGGAACACCGGUGGCGAAGGCGGGACUCUGGGCUGUAACUGACACUGAGGAGCGAAAGCAUGGGGAGCGAACAGGAUUAGAUACCCUGUAGGCUCU